UUAAGUUAUUAAGGGCGCACGGUGGAUGCCUUGGCACUAGAAGCCGAUGAAGGACGUUACUAACGACGAUAUGCUUUGGGGAGCUGUAAGUAAGCUUUGAUCCAGAGAUUUCCGAAUGGGGAAACCCAGCAUGAGUUAUGUCAUGUUAUCGAUAUGUGAAUACAUAGCAUAUCAGAAGGCACACCCGGAGAACUGAAACAUCUUAGUAACCGGAGGAAGAGAAAGAAAAUUCGAUUCCCUUAGUAGCGGCGAGCGAAACGGGAAGAGCCCAAACCAACAAGCUUGCUUGUUGGGGUUGUAGGACACUCUAUACGGAGUUACAAAGGACGACAUUAGACGAAUCAUCUGGAAAGAUGAAUCAAAGAAGGUAAUAAUCCUGUAGUCGAAAAUGUUGUCUCUCUUGAGUGGAUCCUGAGUACGACGGAGCACGUGAAAUUCCGUCGGAAUCUGGGAGGACCAUCUCCUAAGGCUAAAUACUCUCUAGUGACCGAUAGUGAACCAGUACCGUGAGGGAAAGGUGAAAAGCACCCCGGAAGGGGAGUGAAAUAGAACCUGAAACCGUGUGCUUACAAGUAGUCAGAGCCCGUUAAUGGGUGAUGGCGUGCCUUUUGUAGAAUGAACCGGCGAGUUACGAUUUGAUGCAAGGUUAAGCAGUAAAUGUGGAGCCGUAGCGAAAGCGAGUCUGAAUAGGGCGUUUAGUAUUUGGUCGUAGACCCGAAACCAGGUGAUCUACCCUUGGUCAGGUUGAAGUUCAGGUAACACUGAAUGGAGGACCGAACCGACUUACGUUGAAAAGUGAGCGGAUGAACUGAGGGUAGCGGAGAAAUUCCAAUCGAACCUGGAGAUAGCUGGUUCUCUCCGAAAUAGCUUUAGGGCUAGCCUCAAGUGAUGAUUAUUGGAGGUAGAGCACUGUUUGGACGAGGGGCCCCUCUCGGGUUACCGAAUUCAGACAAACUCCGAAUGCCAAUUAAUUUAACUUGGGAGUCAGAACAUGGGUGAUAAGGUCCGUGUUCGAAAGGGAAACAGCCCAGACCACCAGCUAAGGUCCCAAAAUAUAUGUUAAGUGGAAAAGGAUGUGGCGUUGCCCAGACAACUAGGAUGUUGGCUUAGAAGCAGCCAUCAUUUAAAGAGUGCGUAAUAGCUCACUAGUCGAGUGACACUGCGCCGAAAAUGUACCGGGGCUAAACAUAUUACCGAAGCUGUGGAUUGUCCUUUGGACAAUGGUAGGAGAGCGUUCUAAGGGCGUUGAAGCAUGAUCGUAAGGACAUGUGGAGCGCUUAGAAGUGAGAAUGCCGGUGUGAGUAGCGAAAGACGGGUGAGAAUCCCGUCCACCGAUUGACUAAGGUUUCCAGAGGAAGGCUCGUCCGCUCUGGGUUAGUCGGGUCCUAAGCUGAGGCCGACAGGCGUAGGCGAUGGAUAACAGGUUGAUAUUCCUGUACCACCUAUAAUCGUUUUAAUCGAUGGGGGGACGCAGUAGGAUAGGCGAAGCGUGCGAUUGGAUUGCACGUCUAAGCAGUAAGGCUGAGUAUUAGGCAAAUCCGGUACUCGUUAAGGCUGAGCUGUGAUGGGGAGAAGACAUUGUGUCUUCGAGUCGUUGAUUUCACACUGCCGAGAAAAGCCUCUAGAUAGAAAAUAGGUGCCCGUACCGCAAACCGACACAGGUAGUCAAGAUGAGAAUUCUAAGGUGAGCGAGCGAACUCUCGUUAAGGAACUCGGCAAAAUGACCCCGUAACUUCGGGAGAAGGGGUGCUCUUUAGGGUUAACGCCCAGAAGAGCCGCAGUGAAUAGGCCCAAGCGACUGUUUAUCAAAAACACAGGUCUCUGCUAAACCGUAAGGUGAUGUAUAGGGGCUGACGCCUGCCCGGUGCUGGAAGGUUAAGAGGAGUGGUUAGCUUCUGCGAAGCUACGAAUCGAAGCCCCAGUAAACGGCGGCCGUAACUAUAACGGUCCUAAGGUAGCGAAAUUCCUUGUCGGGUAAGUUCCGACCCGCACGAAAGGCGUAACGAUUUGGGCACUGUCUCAACGAGAGACUCGGUGAAAUCAUAGUACCUGUGAAGAUGCAGGUUACCCGCGACAGGACGGAAAGACCCCGUGGAGCUUUACUGUAGCCUGAUAUUGAAAUUCGGCACAGCUUGUACAGGAUAGGUAGGAGCCUUUGAAACGUGAGCGCUAGCUUACGUGGAGGCGCUGGUGGGAUACUACCCUAGCUGUGUUGGCUUUCUAACCCGCACCACUUAUCGUGGUGGGAGACAGUGUCAGGCGGGCAGUUUGACUGGGGCGGUCGCCUCCUAAAAGGUAACGGAGGCGCUCAAAGGUUCCCUCAGAAUGGUUGGAAAUCAUUCAUAGAGUGUAAAGGCAUAAGGGAGCUUGACUGCGAGACCUACAAGUCGAGCAGGGUCGAAAGACGGACUUAGUGAUCCGGUGGUUCCGCAUGGAAGGGCCAUCGCUCAACGGAUAAAAGCUACCCCGGGGAUAACAGGCUUAUCUCCCCCAAGAGUUCACAUCGACGGGGAGGUUUGGCACCUCGAUGUCGGCUCAUCGCAUCCUGGGGCUGUAGUCGGUCCCAAGGGUUGGGCUGUUCGCCCAUUAAAGCGGUACGCGAGCUGGGUUCAGAACGUCGUGAGACAGUUCGGUCCCUAUCCGUCGUGGGCGUAGGAAAUUUGAGAGGAGCUGUCCUUAGUACGAGAGGACCGGGAUGGACAUACCUCUGGUGUACCAGUUGUCGUGCCAACGGCAUAGCUGGGUAGCUAUGUGUGGACGGGAUAAGUGCUGAAAGCAUCUAAGCAUGAAGCCCCCCUCAAGAUGAGAUUUCCCAACUUCGGUUAUAAGAUCCCUCAAAGAUGAUGAGGUUAAUAGGUUCGAGGUGGAAGCAUGGUGACAUGUGGAGCUGACGAAUACUAAUCGAUCGAAGACUUAAUCAA
Molecule: ribosomal RNA, 2921 nt
Filed under: Staphylococcus aureus
Lineage: Bacteria; Bacillati; Bacillota; Bacilli; Caryophanales; Staphylococcaceae
Description: bacterial LSU rRNA
Rfam family: Bacterial large subunit ribosomal RNA
Source: RNAcentral